UGGNUUGUAACUGCUUUUGUCGGGAAGAAACCCUCCUACGUGUAGGAGCUUGACGGUACCGUAAGAAUAAGGAUCGGCUAACUCCGUGCCAGCAGCCGCGGUAAUACGGAGGAUCCAAGCGUUAUCCGGAAUCAUUGGGUUUAAAGGGUCCGUAGGCGGUUUAGUAAGUCGGCGGUGAAAGCCCAUCGCUCAACGGUGGAACGGCCAUUGAUACUGCUGAACUUGAAUUACUGGGAAGUAACUAGAAUAUGUAGUGUAGCGGUGAAAUGCUUAGAGAUUACAUGGAAUACCAAUUGCGAAGGCAGGUUACUACCAGUGGAUUGACGCUGAUGGACGAAAGCGUGGGUAGCGAACAGGAUUAGAUACCCUGGUAGUCCAAGGGCGAAU
This 387-nucleotide ribosomal RNA is filed under the name uncultured bacterium. Its description in RNAcentral is "bacterial SSU rRNA". It matches the Rfam family "Bacterial small subunit ribosomal RNA", at positions 419 to 806 of the family's 1533-position model. The record is from RNAcentral.